UUUGAAGAUUUUAAGUGAGAAAUCAGAUCGAGAUGGGUGUGAAGGUGGUGUUGAUGAUGAUGACAGUAAUGGUGGUGUUCUCUCUAGGAACAAUGCCUACUCCGUUGGCAGCAACUAGGUUCGACGUUGCUAAGCUGCUUGCGGCCAUUGAGAUACCAACUGGAAAGAGUGGGGACAGUAAUUGGUGUGAUAGUUGUUCUAUCUGCACACGUUCAAUUCCACCAAUCUGCUUUUGCACGGAUCUUACUCUCUGCACCAAAUGCGUCUGCU
Telopea speciosissima is the source of this 270-nucleotide long non-coding RNA. RefSeq lists it as uncharacterized. The record is from RefSeq and is a predicted model, not a curated record. Lineage: Eukaryota; Viridiplantae; Streptophyta; Magnoliopsida; Proteales; Proteaceae. The transcript has 2 exons.